CGCCAAGCCGGUGGCUCCGGAAGACGCCGGAGCCUAGUGCACAAGGGA
Non-coding RNA from Streptomyces hygroscopicus, 48 nucleotides. NCBI's taxonomy places the organism in Bacteria, Bacillati, Actinomycetota, Actinomycetes, Kitasatosporales, Streptomycetaceae. The record is from Rfam.